RNAcentral lists this ribosomal RNA (376 nucleotides) under uncultured bacterium. Its description in RNAcentral is "bacterial SSU rRNA". It matches the Rfam family "Bacterial small subunit ribosomal RNA", at positions 524 to 898 of the family's 1533-position model. The record is from RNAcentral.
UACGGAGGGUGCGAGCGUUAAUCGGAAUUACUGGGCGUAAAGCGCACGUAGGCGGUCAUGUAAGUGGGAUGUGAAAUCCCCGGGCUUAACCUGGGACUUGCAUCUCAGACUGCAUGACUAGAGUAUGGGAGAGGGUGGUGGAAUUUCCGGUGUAGCGGUGAAAUGCGUAGAGAUCGGAAGGAACAUCAGUGGCGAAGGCGGCCACCUGGCCUAAUACUGACGCUGAGGUGCGAAAGCGUGGGGAUCAAACAGGAUUAGAUACCCUGGUAGUCCACGCUGUAAACGAUGAGAACUAGCCGUUGGAUUCCUUAGAGGAUUUAGUGGCGCAGCUAACGCGAUAAGUUCUCCGCCUGGGGAGUACGGCCGCAAGGUUAAA